This 403-nucleotide ribosomal RNA is filed under the name uncultured bacterium. RNAcentral's name for it is "partial 16S ribosomal RNA". It matches the Rfam family "Bacterial small subunit ribosomal RNA", at positions 30 to 526 of the family's 1533-position model. The record is from RNAcentral.
AUUGAACGCUGGCGGCAGGCCUAACACAUGCAAGUCGAGCGAGCGGCGGACGGGUGAGUAAUGUAUGGGGACUGCCCGAUAGAGGGGGAUAACUACUGGAAACGGUGGCUAAUACCGCAUACUAUCGGAUAAACCCUAUGGGAUUAGCUAGUAGGUGGGGUAAAGGCUCACCUAGGCGACGAUCUCUAGCUUGUCUGAGAGGAUGAUCAGCCAAACUGGGGUUGAUACACGGCCCUGCCUCCUACGGAGGAAGCAGUGGGGAAUAUUGCACAUUGGGCGCAAGCCUGAUGCAGCCAUGCCUCGUGUAUGAAGAGGGCCUUAGGGGUGUAAAGUACUUUCAGCGUGGAGGCGUUACCCGCAGAAGAAGCACCGGCUAACUCCGUGCCAGCAGCCGCGGUAAUAC